Long non-coding RNA from Pseudophryne corroboree (corroboree frog), 375 nucleotides. RefSeq lists it as uncharacterized. NCBI's taxonomy places the organism in Eukaryota, Metazoa, Chordata, Amphibia, Anura, Myobatrachidae. The transcript is spliced from 2 exons. The record is from RefSeq and is a predicted model, not a curated record.
UAUAUUUAUCGAAUUGAAUAUGUGAUUGGAUGUAAUCAUUGGAUAUUCUAAACCUUUCUAAUCAAUGGUAAUCACUCCUACUAUAAGAACUGAUUCCAAACCCCUGAUGAAGUCCUAACGGACGAAACGCGUUGGGUUUUGCAACGUCUGGUUAACAAAGUCCUUAUCACAAACAUCUGGUUGGAGAUACAUCCAUUUCGAGUUCUGACUGAUCACCUGGCUGUAAAAUCCUCACAUCCAACUGUAAUUUAUGUAUAAGAUUGUAAUAUUGUUUUAUAUGAAUUUUUAGAAGGUUGUGUCAAUAACGAACGCUUAGGAUAAAUAUCGUUUGUUUCUGUACAAUAAAAACUUUUAAUUAUUGUCAUACAAAAGGCA